Molecule: ribosomal RNA, 308 nt
Filed under: uncultured bacterium
Lineage: Bacteria
Description: bacterial SSU rRNA
Rfam family: Bacterial small subunit ribosomal RNA
Source: RNAcentral
AUUGAACGCUGGCGGCAGGCCUAACACAUGCAAGUCGAGCGGUAGCACAGAGAGCUUGCUCUCGGGUGACGAGCGGCGGACGGGUGAGUAAUGUCUGGGAAACUGCCUGAUGGAGGGGGAUAACUACUGGAAACGGUAGCUAAUACCGCAUAACGUCGCAAGACCAAAGUGGGGGACCUUCGGGCCUCAUGCCAUCAGAUGUGCCCAGAUGGGAUUAGCUAGUUGGUGGGGUAACGGCCCACCAAGGCGACGAUACAUAGCCGGCCUGAGAGGGUGAUCGGCCACACUGGGACUGAGACACGGCCCAG